Molecule: long non-coding RNA, 385 nt
Filed under: Marmota monax (woodchuck)
Lineage: Eukaryota; Metazoa; Chordata; Mammalia; Rodentia; Sciuridae
Source: RNAcentral
AUAGGGAAAAGUAUCUUAAUAUUGGUCCAGGCAGUGAUUUUUCAGAUAACAUCCUCAAAGCAAAAAUAAACAAGUGGCAUUGCAGAAAAUUAAAAUGCUGUGCAACAAAAAAAACAAUCAACACAAUGGAGAGACAACCUAUGGAAUGGGAGAAAAUGCUUACAAAACAUACAUCUGGCUAAGGGUUCAUGUGCAAAAUACAUAAGGAACUCGAAACAUCUCAACAGCAAAAAUCCUGAUUUUUAAAUGGGCAGAGGAACUGAAGAGAUAGUGCUCAAAGGAAGACAGAUAAAUAAUCAUCAGGUAUACAGAUGAUCAACAUCACUAAUCAACAGGGAAAUCAGAAUCAAAAUAUAAUGAGAUAUCACCUUAUACCUAUCAGAAU